GGAGAGGUUGCCGAGAGGCUUAAGGCGCCGCUCUCGAAAAGCGGUUCUCCCGAAAGGAGACGUGGGUUCAAAUCCCACCCUCUCCGCCA
This 89-nucleotide transfer RNA is filed under the name Syntrophaceae bacterium. RNAcentral describes it as "tRNA-Ser". It matches the Rfam family "tRNA". Rfam says of the family: Transfer RNA (tRNA) molecules are approximately 80 nucleotides in length. Their secondary structure includes four short double-helical elements and three loops (D, anti-codon, and T loops). RNAcentral also lists the same sequence under 1 other name. The record is from RNAcentral. Lineage: Bacteria; Pseudomonadati; Thermodesulfobacteriota; Syntrophia; Syntrophales; Syntrophaceae.